Long non-coding RNA from Juglans microcarpa x Juglans regia, 158 nucleotides. RefSeq lists it as uncharacterized. The transcript has 2 exons. NCBI's taxonomy places the organism in Eukaryota, Viridiplantae, Streptophyta, Magnoliopsida, Fagales, Juglandaceae. The record is from RefSeq and is a predicted model, not a curated record.
GGACAAAUAUCAUGUUUAACCCCUGUGGUAGGGUUAUAAACCACCAUUAUACCCGUGGAUGGGCCGUAUACCAUGUUUCUCUCCCGUGAUAGGGUUAUAAAUCACCAUUAUACCCGUGGCUGGGCCGUAUACCAUGUUUCACCCCCGUGGUAGGGUUA